RNAcentral lists this ribosomal RNA (253 nucleotides) under uncultured bacterium. Its description in RNAcentral is "partial 16S ribosomal RNA". It matches the Rfam family "Bacterial small subunit ribosomal RNA", at positions 524 to 776 of the family's 1533-position model. The record is from RNAcentral.
UACGUAGGGGGCAAGCGUUGUUCGGAAUUACUGGGCGUAAAGGGCGCGUAGGCGGCAUGGCAAGUCAGGAGUGAAAGGCCUGGGCUCAACCGAGGAACUGCUUUUGAUACUGCCAAGCUAGAGUGCGGAAGGGGCAACUGGAAUUCCCAGUGUAGCGGUGAAAUGCGUAGAUAUUGGGAAGAACACCUGAGGCGAAGGCGGGUUGCUGGGCCGACACUGACGCUGAGGCGCGAAAGCCAGGGGAGCGAACGGG